This 357-nucleotide ribosomal RNA is filed under the name Triticum aestivum (bread wheat). RNAcentral describes it as "partial small subunit ribosomal RNA". Lineage: Eukaryota; Viridiplantae; Streptophyta; Magnoliopsida; Poales; Poaceae. The record is from RNAcentral.
AUGAGGUUUCAUUUCCAAGGCUGUGACAAUCUGGAAAGGACCUUAUGUGAAUCAGAUAUCACAUAUAUCAACAUGUUAGCUAUUAUUGGGAUAGAGGGCUAUGAUCAAAAGGAUUCAAUGUACUAUGUGAAGCAAGAAGGUGUAGGAAUGGCAGGCAUGCAGCUAAUCCAAUCUAAGGAAGAUGUAGAAGAAAUGUUGAUAUUGUAUGAGGAGAAGAGGUGUGUUACUAUCACAGUAAUGAAAGGAAGAGACUCAGAGAUGGAAAAGUGCCAGAUCAACAUUGGAGAUGGAUGUGAAAAGAAGAUUCCAAUUUCUGAGAUUGGUUGUCCAAAGGUGUAUGAUAACCCACAAGUAUAG